UUUAGAAACCAAUGGUACUUUUUUUUCUUCGAUAGCAGAGAACAGUGUUCCAUAAAACUACUUCUUAAAACCAUCAUUUAAGAAUUUAUUUGACAAUUUUUUGAUAGCAAAGACGUUGGUCCGUAGACUGUUUCCUAAAUCCUUUUUUUAGAUAUUUUUGGCAAUUACAGUGUUCGAACCCCAACCUUCCCAACUGGUUCUGACAGAUACUCCAUUGAAGUUGCUCUUAUAUAGCUCCAUGUAUCAUUUUUGGUCUUGGACGUACGGAGGAAGUUCCACUAGAUCCGUGUGUUAUAGCUUGUUAUCCCUUUACAUUUACUCUAAGCAAAGAGAAGAGUCUUAAAUUGGUAUUGGUCUUGUCUGUUUGCAAUGAGAUUUUUUUUUCGUGCUACAAACCAACAACAAAGUCAAUUUCUUUCAUUAACGCAUAGAAACUUCCUCAAAAUGCAUUUGAUUUAAUCUGUCGAGUAACCUGAUGUUCAUGUUCUCGAUGAUUCUAGGAGUCGUAGUGAGCUUAACUACAAAAUGAAAAAGAACCUUUGAAUGCAACUUGAACUCUUAAUGUCUAGGCUAAUUAAUUAAUCUUUAAUUUUAUUUGUCAAGGUUUUAACAUUUGUUAACUAAUUCUUCAAAGUCAUUGUCUGGCAUUACAUUUUUCUAGUAGUGUCAUACUGCUACAAGCUAGCCCCUUCGACCACUCGGUCAGUCUGUGGUGGUUCUUGCUUCUCCAGACACUUAAAUACAGUAGACCUGUGUAUACCGAAUAGAGAGAGCGAGAGAGAGAUGUCAAUUAGUAAUAUUCCGUGUCUCUUGUUUCUUCUUCUUCUUGUGUCGUUUAUCGAACAAUUAGCAACACUUGGGUUUUGUCAAGAAAUUAAUGAACUUAGAAGAGAUGAUUUCCCGUCUGACUUUGUUUUUGGUGCUGGAACUUCAGCUUAUCAGGUUGAAGGAGCCGUGGCAAAAGACGGAAGGAAACCCUCUGUAUGGGAUAUCUUCACUCAUGAAGGUAAUGUCAUUGACAAAAGCACAAGGGAUAUAGCAGCAGAUGGAUAUCACAAAUAUAAGGAAGAUGUGAAACUAAUGAGUGAUUUAGGACUUGAAGCUUAUAGAUUUUCCAUAUCUUGGUCAAGGGUCCUUCCAGAUGGCAGGGGAGCUAUGAAUCCAAAAGGCAUCGAGUAUUACAAUAAUCGCAUCAAUGAAUUAAUCAGUCACGGUACAAAUAUUGCAUCGGUGAAUAUACCACACGUAUAACAAAUUAACAGCAUCCUAUUUUAUUGUGUUGAUUCAAAUAUUUCUUGGGCAAAUUAAUAAAGUGUCCUGCUUCAAACCAUAUAAUUAAUAAACCGGCCAAGCUUUUAAAUUCUUUUAGAAACUGGCCUUUCUGUUAGAGUUGACACCCGGGCCCACCAGAUCGGUCAGCUGCGUUGAAUAAGUCAAACUCGGUAGGAGAAUUUACGACUGUGCCCUUGCCCAUUUAAAGACGCGUGUGGUGUAAUCUCGCACCACACUUUCUCUUUCCCCCUCGUUCUCUUCCUCCCUCGUUCUCUUCUCCUAGGGUUAGGUAUUGAAGCUGUUUGAAAAGAAAAAGAGUCCUGAUGUUAUUGAAGUUGUUUUUGCUGAAGACAUAGAUGUUAGUGAAAGACCAGAGUGUAUUUGGAAGAAAAGUUCUACAUAUUUAGGGAUUCAAAGAUAGUGGUGAUACAGUGAAGAUGAGGUACAAACCGGGAUUGAAACAGUCUGAAUCAAGUCAGUUCAAAUUUAGGAAUAUCAGUGUAUAUGCGGAGCCAAAGAAUGAGACUUUGGUAUUUCCUGAUUGCCAUAGAGAUGAAACAGAGUUGAUGACACUUAAGUAUAUGGUGUAUAAGGGUUUGUCUAUGGAUGUUAAAGAGA
Papaver somniferum (opium poppy) is the source of this 1890-nucleotide RNA transcript. It is a transcript of the gene named cyanidin 3-O-glucoside 7-O-glucosyltransferase (acyl-glucose)-like, with no coding region annotated. Lineage: Eukaryota; Viridiplantae; Streptophyta; Magnoliopsida; Ranunculales; Papaveraceae. The transcript is spliced from 6 exons. The record is from RefSeq and is a predicted model, not a curated record.